This 492-nucleotide ribosomal RNA is filed under the name uncultured bacterium. RNAcentral's name for it is "partial 16S ribosomal RNA". It matches the Rfam family "Bacterial small subunit ribosomal RNA", at positions 29 to 507 of the family's 1533-position model. The record is from RNAcentral.
AGUGAACGCUGGCGGUAGGCCUAACACAUGCAAGUCGAACGGCAGCACAGUAAGAGCUUGCUCUUACGGGUGGCGAGUGGCGGACGGGUGAGGAAUACAUCGGAAUCUACUUUUUCGUGGGGGAUAACGUAGGGAAACUUACGCUAAUACCGCAUACGACCUACGGGUGAAAGCAGGGGAUCUUCGGACCUUGCGCGAUUGAAUGAGCCGAUGUCGGAUUAGCUAGUUGGCGGGGUAAAGGCCCACCAAGGCGACGCUCCGUAGCUGGCCUGAGAGGAUGAUCAGCCACACUGGAACUGAGACACGGUCCAGACUCCUACGGGAGGCAGCAGUGGGGAAUAUUGGACAAUGGGCGCAAGCCUGAUCCAGCCAUACCGCGUGGGUGAAGAAGGCCUUCGGGUUGUAAAGCCCUUUUGUUGGGAAAGAAAAGCAGCAGGUUAAUACCCCGCUGUUCUGACGGUACCCAAAGAAUAAGCACCGGCUAACUUCGUG